This 1585-nucleotide long non-coding RNA is filed under the name Paramuricea clavata. The stretch from base 137 to 209 matches the Rfam family "tRNA". Lineage: Eukaryota; Metazoa; Cnidaria; Anthozoa; Malacalcyonacea; Plexauridae. The record is from RNAcentral.
GAGGCCAGCUGUUGAGCUGUAACCGUAAGUUCAUGUAUAUAUAGGUGAUCGGGUGUGCGGGUUGUGAUAAGAUGGACUUCGAUUAUCUGUUUUUUUACUAUAUAUACAUGAACUUACGGUUACAGCUCAACAGCUGGCCUCUGUAGCUCAGUUGGUUAGAGCGCUGCACCGGAAUCGCAGUGCCGUAGGUUCAAUUCCUACCAGAGGACCUUGUGCUGCAUUUUUCGCAGUCGUUCCUGGUCAGGUCUUAAAAAGUAUAUAUAUACUCACUUGGAUUACAAACCCUAAGAACAGCAUUCAAAUAUUAAUACCACCAAGUGAAGUGCAAAAAACCAGAUCAUUGAAGUCCAUCUUAUCACUUCCCUAUAAUUGCUUGAGUGCCCACCAAACAGCAGCUUGAAAUUGAUGCGGACAAUGUAAUCCAUUGUAAAUAUUAAGUAGCUAGUUUUAUUAAAUGUAAAAAUAUCUGUCUUUACCCUAGCAACUGCAGGGCGUCCUAAAAAAGGCAAUAGCUGUAUUGCAGAUUUUUAUACAGUUAAUUAUUAGUAAUUAUUAGUAAGCAUCGAAAAUUCAUUCUGAGAGAUACGUUUUGACCCUAAAAUUGUUAAAAUAGCUCUUAAAUUAAAACUAGUAGAUGGCCAAUAUCAUAGCUAUUUAAAGCAAGGGGACAUCAAACCUAUUGAUACUUAACACGCAACUUGGGCCGGCUAUUCAUGGCUUUUUUAAACUUUCUAAAAUUCACCGUGGAUUGGCAUGCAUCUACCAGACUUGGUAAUAGACAACCAUAACAUUGGUUCUACCAGACCGAUUUUAAUAAUCUUAUUGUCAAAAUUCAUCUCUUAUAGAUAUAAUUUACGAUUCCCAUGCACUAAUAAUUAGCUGUGCAAUAAUCCGGAACACAACUAUUGCAUUUUUCUGGGUAAAAUUCUUAAUAAAAUACUUAAUUACUAACUUAAAAUACUUAAUUCUAAAAUACUUAAUUCAAUCAAUGUUUUAGAAACGUCGUGGAAAUAUUGGGCUGUUAACUAACUAAGGAAACUUUGUUUUCAAACAUUUAAUGUUUCUGACAUUGACAGGAAACAAAUUGUGUUUCCUAUCAACAAUACAUGUUUCUGACAUACAUGUUUCAUGCACUGAUUUAAUAGUAGGUUUCAUGACAUACAACAAUUAAUACAUGUUUCUGACAUUGAUAGGAAAGGAAUUUUUGUUUCGGCAAUGAAAAAAUUCAAAUGUUCUCAAUACACCCUUCCGGAAAGUACGUCAUCUUGGCUAUAGAGCCUCGUUUUCGUAAUUGCGACAUUGGAUUUUAACUAAUAGAUUCAGCUCAAGAAUGAGCGCUAAGCAAUUUGAUUACUCAAAUAAAUGUGUGAAGCUUUUUCAAAUAACCUUACGAACUGCUAAGUUCUGCUAAAGCGAUACUGCAAUGUUUUCUGUAAUUUCGACACACCUCUUGGGUACGAGGCAGAGCACUGUGAAAGCUUAUUGUGACCCAGGUGCUUUAAAUAUAAUACAUGAAAUAUAUUAAGGCGGGAGACGCGCGAAGAGGCUGUUGGGAAGGAACUACAAUACUUCAUGUAAACUCGUC